GACGAACGCUGGCGGCGUGCUUAACACAUGCAAGUCGAACGGUAAGGCCCUUCGGGGUACACGAGUGGCGAACGGGUGAGUAACACGUGGGUGAUCUGCCCUGCACUUCGGGAUAAGCCUGGGAAACUGGGUCUAAUACCGGAUAGGACCACUGCCUGCAUGGGUGGUGGUGGAAAGCUUUUGCGGUGUGGGAUGGGCCCGCGGCCUAUCAGCUUGUUGGUGGGGGGAUGGCCGACCCAGGCGAUGACGGGUAGCCGGCCUGAGAGGGUGACCGGCCACACUGGGACUGAGAUACGGCCCAGACUCCUACGGGAGGCAGCAGUGGGGAAUAUUGCACAAUGGGCGCAAGCCUGGUGCAGCGACGCCGCGUGAGGGAUGACGGCCUUCGGGUUGUAAACCUCUUUCAGCACCGACGAAGCGCAAGUGACGGUAGGUGCAGAAGAAGGACCGGCCAACUACGUGCCAGCCGCCGCCGUAA
Molecule: ribosomal RNA, 478 nt
Filed under: uncultured bacterium
Lineage: Bacteria
Description: partial 16S ribosomal RNA
Rfam family: Bacterial small subunit ribosomal RNA
Source: RNAcentral